This 933-nucleotide ribosomal RNA is filed under the name uncultured organism. RNAcentral's name for it is "bacterial SSU rRNA". It matches the Rfam family "Bacterial small subunit ribosomal RNA", at positions 13 to 940 of the family's 1533-position model. The record is from RNAcentral.
UUGAUCCUGGCUCAGAGUGAACGCUAGCGGCGUGGUUAAGACAUGCAAGUCGAACGAUGAAGCCCAGCUUGCUGGGCGGAUUAGUGGCAUACGGGUGCGUAACACGUGAGCAACCUGCCUUGAAGUGGGGAAUAGCCCGGGGAAACCCGGAUUAAUACCGCAUGUGGUCUCUUUUCGCAUGAAAAGACGACUAAAGUUUGUAAUGACUCUUCAAGAGGGGCUCGCGGCCUAUCAGCUUGUUGGUGAGGUAAAGGCUCACCAAGGCAAAGACGGGUAGCUGGUCUGAGAGGAUGAUCAGCCACACUGGAACUGAGAUACGGUCCAGACACCUACGGGUGGCAGCAGUUUCGAAUCAUUCACAAUGGGGGAAACCCUGAUGGUGCAACGCCGCGUGGAGGAUGACGGCCUUCGGGUUGUAAACUCCUGUCACCAAGGAACAAACGGCAGGUUCAUAGCCUGUCCUGAGUUAACUUGGAGAGGAAGAGGUGGCUAACUCCGUGCCAGCAGCCGCGGUAAUACGGAGACCUCGAGCGUUACUCGGAUUCACUGGGCGUAAAGAGUAUGUAGGCUGUUUGGUAUGUCAGGUGUGAAAGCCCGAAGCUCAACUUCGGAAUUGCGCCUGAAACUACCGGACUUGAGGCCUGGAGAGGGGAGUGGAAUUCCUGGUGUAGCGGUGAAAUGCGUAGAUAUCAGGAGGAACACCAAUGGCGAAGGCAGCUCCCUGGACAGGUUCUGACGCUGAGAUACGAAAGCGUGGGUAGCGAAAGGGAUUAGAUACCCCUGUAGUCCACGCCGUAAACGUUGCACACUAGGUUUCGGAGGGCCUACCCCUUCGGAGCUCAAGCUAACGCGAUAAGUGUACCGCCUGAGGACUACGGCCGCAAGGCUAAAACUCAAAGGAAUUGACGGGGGCCCGCACAAGCGGUGGAGCAU